CCUACGGGUGGCAGCAGUGAGGAAUAUUGGUCAAUGGGCGCGAGCCUGAACCAGCCAAGUAGCGUGAAGGAUGACUGCCCUACGGGUUGUAAACUUCUUUUAUAAAGGAAUAAAGUGAGGCACGUGUGCCUUUUUGUAUGUACUUUAUAAAUAAGGAUCGGCUAACUCCGUGCCAGGAGCCGCGGUAAUACGGAGGAUCCGAGCGUUAUCCGGAUUUAUUGGUUUUAAAGGGAGCGUAGAUGGGUUGUUAAGUCAGUUGUGAAAGUUUGCGGCUCAACCGUAAAAGUGCAAUUGAUACUGGCAGUCUUGAGUACAGAUGAGGUAGGCGGAAUUCGUGGUGUAGCGGUGAAAUGCUUAGAUAUCACGAAGAACUCCGAUUGCGAAGGCAGCUUACUAAACUGUGACUGACAUUGAUGCUCGAAAGUGUGGGUAUCAAACAGGAUUAGAUACCCCAGUAGUC
This 460-nucleotide ribosomal RNA is filed under the name uncultured bacterium. RNAcentral's name for it is "partial 16S ribosomal RNA". It matches the Rfam family "Bacterial small subunit ribosomal RNA", at positions 338 to 795 of the family's 1533-position model. The record is from RNAcentral.